Molecule: ribosomal RNA, 253 nt
Filed under: uncultured bacterium
Lineage: Bacteria
Description: partial 16S ribosomal RNA
Rfam family: Bacterial small subunit ribosomal RNA
Source: RNAcentral
UACAGAGGUCUCGAGCGUUGUUCGGAUUCAUUGGGCGUAAAGGGCGCGUAGGUGGCUAGGUAAGUCGGGUGUGAAAUCCCGGGGCUCAACCCCGGAACUGCAUUCGAUACUGCCUGGCUAGAGUACUGGAGAGGAGAUUGGAAUUUACGGUGUAGCAGUGAAAUGCGUAGAUAUCGGAAGGAAGACCAGUGGCGAAGGCGGAUCUCUGGACAGUUACUGACACUGAGGCACGAAGGCCAGGGGAGCAAACGGG